This is a long non-coding RNA of Chelonus insularis, 2258 nucleotides long. RefSeq lists it as uncharacterized. NCBI's taxonomy places the organism in Eukaryota, Metazoa, Arthropoda, Insecta, Hymenoptera, Braconidae. The transcript has 8 exons. The record is from RefSeq and is a predicted model, not a curated record.
UUGAACUCCCUUUUUUUUUUUCGUUCCUUGCAAUGUCAUUCUAUAAAACUUUUCAUAUUCAUCCCCUCGUUAAGCCAAGCCCAAGUCUUUUAUCCCUGAGUAUUAUGUGAACUAAUCUCAAGCCGGAUACUUGGUAGGGAAAUACGAUGGGCGUGAUUGUCAUGAGAAUGACAGAAAUUACAAGUCAUGAUGUGAAAAUGGUCUUGUGUAACAAACUCAUACCAACUGUUCAAAAAGAGAAACAAUAUGUUGAAUUUGCUCAACAUUUGGGAGUAGUCAAAAGGAAAUGGUAUAUACAGAAUUGGUUUAAUUUAGUGGAAACAAUGUGGAGGUGGUGAAAGAAAAAAAUAGUUUUAACAUCUAUAACUACUCCAAAUCAAGUUGAUCUUCAUACCGGGAAUUAUUCAAAAUAUUUCAAAGUCAUGAUAAAAACUCCAACCCUUUAUCUGUCUUGGAAGUAGGAAAAGGUCUUUUGAAAAGAGUUGCUAGAGAAAAGAGAUAGCUAGGAGUGAGAACAUAAGAUGAUAGUAUCUUUGAUGAAAAAAAACAGGAAAGGUUUUGACUGGUUAUGUCAUGAAAGUAUGAAAAAGCUUGCAAGGAAGCAGAAUAAUUUCAGCUAUUCAUUUACAGGAUCAAAGAAGUCGUAACAGUUUUUAAAAAAAUACUUUUAUAAUCCAUAACAUCCGAAAGUUGAGGUUGUUGGAGAUCAUUCUAUUCCAGUAUAAAUGAAAGAAAUCGAAUAAGCAGCAAGUAUUAAACUAAUAAUAAAUAAGAUUCUUAAGAUAACUAAAAUCGAUGGUCUAGCGAUUGAAGGUUGUGUGUUUUAAGGCCAAACAGAAUUGAGUAUAUCAACGUAACCUCGGAAAAAAGAUUAAAGGUUGCUCUAUAGAUAGGCCAGUUAAUAGAGUAAGAAUAAAGAGAUAAAUCGAUAGUAAAGUCUAACAUCGUUGUAUGAUUAAAUAUGUAAUAAGAUAGCAUUUUUUAAACUAAAGUAAUGCAGUUUAUAGCUAGCUUACUUUUCUCACAGUUAUUUUUUUCAAAUUCUUCUAUAUUACACUGUUGGAUCCCCAAUGACUGGAUCAUAUUUUAUAUAAACUAAAACGAUUCAUUUCUUGAUAACUAAUUAAAGGGUUGGUCAAAAGGUCCAAGUGAGAGGUUGAAGCCAAGCUCGUAGGGCUAGAGUAACUGGUUUUAUUCAAGGGAAAGUUGGAGACAUCUAGAGGGUCCAAAGUUCACCUUUUAGGAAUCAGAGAUGAUAUAUAAAGGACUUUGGAUGGACAUAAAAAUGGGAUUUUUCUAUAGAGAAAUCCUAACUUUCUGAAACUAUAAAACUGAUGUUUCUUUAAAAAUAUAUAAGUAGAUAGUUCAAUGAUUUAUGAAUUCUCAAGAGACUUUUUCGUGCUUUUCCAUCGACAAUGUUUCUCUUGGCAACGUUUGGUGUUAUAACUUUGAAGGGAUUGUGUGUGGUUCGACUACUGAGUAGACAUAAAAUAAAGAGCUAAUAAAGGUUAGAGAGAAAGAAAUCGAUGUGACACGUGAGUUGUACCAGGAAAUCGGUAGAUACCAAGGACUCUAGUAUUAUAUUACAUCGUCAUCGUUCUUUUAAGUGGAGUAAAAACGUCUGACUAUAAACUGCAUUCAAUCUUUUUAGUCAAGGAUAUGGCUUUUGAAAUAAACAAGAUUUCAAGUACCAAUAGAAGAUUGAAAUAAAUAUAUAACAUCAAUAAAACUAUUGGAGAGUGGUGUUUAGAUAUCAAGAACUCAACAAUAUCAGUUACCAAAUCCAAAACAAGAAACUCAAGUUGGAAACUUCGAAAUGGGUGCCAGUUGAUUCUGGACCUGGAAGUUGGAUACUUUUGACUUCUCAAAUAUAAAAUAAAAACUAAAAAGGAUAACGAAACCUAGUUGAUAUAAAAUUAAGCCUUUGAAAUUCAAAUGAUGCUGAAUAGCAGUAGGAAAGGAAAAAAAAAUUUAAGAAUUUAUGUUUAAGUUAUAGUACUUCUUUGUAAUCGUGAUAUAACUGUCGAAUAUCAAGAAGAGUAUUACAAAGCAAAAGAAUUUUCACACUAAUACUAAGCUUCGUAAAUAUUCUUAUAGAAGAGUGCGUUUAAAAAUUUACUCGAAGAAAUGUCUUCCUUCCUCAAACUAGUAAAUACUUUCUAUCUUUUUUUUUUUGUGAAGAAUAAAAAAAACAUUUUUUCAUCUUGUUUUGUACUUCCAAGUUUUCUUAAAAGAAAUAUUAAUUGAGAAAAAAGUAU